AUGGUGAGAUAAGAUACACGAAGGCGGCAGUUGAGGUUAACAACACAGCAGCGGAUACGAUAGUCAACACAGAGACGAACUACACCCUCUCGUUCAAACAUGUUGCGAGAUUAGCUACACUAAUCUAAGAGCAACCUCUCGACAUUCUACAGCAAACCGACCAUAACAAAUCACCCACAAAUCCAAACCCUUUGUGUCACACACUGAGUGCGAAUCAGCAAAAGAAACUACAGUAUCGUACUUGUACACAAAACCGCUGUUUACAUUACCUUACAUUGCAAGACUGGGAGAGAGCAAAAGCAAUCCAAACUCAGCAAAAGAAAACUCAGCAAAGGACACCAAAGCAGCCUAGCGAUAUUGGAAGCAAUUCGAGUGACGAUUGUCCUACCGCCGUAUUCUUACCGAAAAAAAUGUCGUCUCAUAGGCCCCUUAAUCAUCGUACGACGUACCAUGUUGGACAUGACACCAUCUUCAAUGGCGCAAUGUUUUAUGCGGCAACAUGAGCCCAUUGUGGCUAUCUGCGUGGAGACAACUUUAUUUACAAAGGCGGUGUCUGUGUGUCUGUAGA
RNAcentral lists this unclassified non-coding RNA (568 nucleotides) under Yarrowia lipolytica. The record is from RNAcentral. Lineage: Eukaryota; Fungi; Ascomycota; Dipodascomycetes; Dipodascales.